RNAcentral lists this ribosomal RNA (450 nucleotides) under uncultured bacterium. Its description in RNAcentral is "bacterial SSU rRNA". It matches the Rfam family "Bacterial small subunit ribosomal RNA", at positions 354 to 796 of the family's 1533-position model. The record is from RNAcentral.
GUAGGGAAUCUUCCGCAAUGGACGCAAGUCUGACGGAGCAACGCCGCGUGUGUGAAGAAGGUCUUCGGAUCGUAAAGCACUGUUAUUAGAGAAGAACAACCGGUAGAGUAACUGUUACCGGCUUGACGGUAUCUAACCAGAAAGCCACGGCUAACUACGUGCCAGCAGCCGCGGUAAUACGUAGGUGGCAAGCGUUGUCCGGAUUUAUUGGGCGUAAAGGGAGCGCAGGCGGUGACUUAAGUCUGAUGUGAAAGCCCACGGCUCAACCGUGGAAGGUCAUUGGAAACUGGGUCACUUGAGUGCAGAAGAGGAAAGUGGAAUUCCAUGUGUAGCGGUGAAAUGCGUAGAUAUAUGGAGGAACACCAGUGGCGAAGGCGACUUUCUGGUCUGUAACUGACGCUGAGGCUCGAAAGCGUGGGGAGCAAACAGGAUUAGAAACCCUAGUAGUCC